Molecule: ribosomal RNA, 1071 nt
Filed under: Fragilariopsis kerguelensis
Lineage: Eukaryota; Bacillariophyta; Bacillariophyceae; Bacillariales; Bacillariaceae
Description: partial Bacterial small subunit ribosomal RNA
Rfam family: Bacterial small subunit ribosomal RNA
Source: RNAcentral
ACGGAGAGUUUGAUCCUGGCUCAGGAUGAACGCUAGCGGCAGGCCUAAUACAUGCAAGUCGAGGGGCAGCACGGUUUUCGGACUGGUGGCGACCGGCGCACGGGUGCGUAACGCGUAUGCAAUCUACCUUAUACUGGAGGAUAGCCCGAGGAAACUCGGAUUAAUACUCCAUAGUAUCACGAAAUGGCAUCAUUUUGUGAUUAAAGAUUUAUUGGUAUAAGAUGAGCAUGCGUCUGAUUAGUUAGUUGGUAAGGUAACGGCUUACCAAGGCAUCGAUAGGUAGGGGGCCUGAGAGGGUGGCCCCCCACACUGGUACUGAGACACGGACCAGACUCCUACGGGAGGCAGCAGUGAGGAAUAUUGGUCAAUGGAGGCAACUCUGAACCAGCCAUGCCGCGUGCAGGAAGAAUGCCCUAUGGGUUGUAAACUGCUUUUAUUUAGGAAGAAUCCCCAGUACGUGUACUGGGUUGACGGUACUAAACGAAUAAGGACCGGCUAACUCCGUGCCAGCAGCCGCGGUAAUACGGAGGGUCCAAGCGUUAUCCGGAAUCAUUGGGUUUAAAGGGUCCGCAGGCGGACUAGUAAGUCAGUGGUGAAAUCUCUCAGCUUAACUGGGAAACUGCCAUUGAUACUGUUAGUCUUGAAUUCGGUCGAAGUGGGCGGAAUGUGUCAUGUAGCGGUGAAAUGCAUAGAUAUGACACAGAACACCGAUAGCGAAGGCAGCUCACUAGGCCUGAAUUGACGCUCAGGGACGAAAGCGUGGGGAGCGAACAGGAUUAGAUACCCUGGUAGUCCACGCCGUAAACGAUCAUUACUCGAUAUCAGCGAUAUACAGUUGGUGUCUAAGCGAAAGUGAUAAGUAAUGCACCUGGGGAGUACGAUCGCAAGGUUGAAACUCAAAGGAAUUGACGGGGGCCCGCACAAGCGGUGGAGCAUGUGGUUUAAUUCGAUGCAACGCGAAGAACCUUACCUACACUUGACAUACAGAGAACUUUCUAGAGAUAGAUUGGUGCCUUCGGGAACUCUGAUACAGGUGCUGCAUGGCUGUCGUCAGCUCGUGUUGUGAGAUGU